UUGGAGGGCAAGUUUGGUGCCAGCAGCCGCGGUAAUUCCAGCUCCAAUAGCGUAUAUUAAAGUUGUUGUGGUUAAAAAGCUCGUAGUUGAACCUUGGGCCUGGCUGGCCGGUCCGCCUCACCGCGUGCACUGGUCCGGCCGGGCCUUUCCCUCUGCGGAACCCCAUGCCCUUCACUGGGUGUGGCGGGGAAACAGGACUUUUACUUUGAAAAAAUUAGAGUGCUCAAGGCAGGCCUAUGCUCGAAUACAUUAGCAUGGAAUAAUAGAAUAGGACGUGUGG
This 280-nucleotide ribosomal RNA is filed under the name uncultured Ascomycota. RNAcentral's name for it is "partial 18S ribosomal RNA". It matches the Rfam family "Eukaryotic small subunit ribosomal RNA", at positions 548 to 834 of the family's 1831-position model. Lineage: Eukaryota; Fungi; Ascomycota. The record is from RNAcentral.